Molecule: RNA transcript, 2970 nt
Organism: Papaver somniferum (opium poppy)
Lineage: Eukaryota; Viridiplantae; Streptophyta; Magnoliopsida; Ranunculales; Papaveraceae
Gene name: GPI-anchored wall transfer protein 1-like
Exons: 4
Source: RefSeq, a predicted model, not a curated record
UCCAAGCUCUAGGUAGGCGAAGUUUUCCCCCAAAUAUCUAGGGCAAAUGCAUAAAAUCCUCUUAUAAUCUUAAAAUCUCCCAUUUUUUCUUCAAUUCUACCAUUAAUAUUUCCUCAGGCAACAAUUGAUCUGCGCUCUGCAAAGGUGGGCAAUAUACUCGUAACACAGGCAGUGGGUUUUCAUCAGUCGUGCUCCUUUCUGAUCUUCAUGACCCUGCUAAAGGAUUUAUUAUAGAGGACACUUGUAUAAUUCAAGCUGAGAUUACUUUUGUUAUGUCUAAUGCUUUUAAUGUGGAGGUGCCUUUAAGUACUGCUGGAAAACCUUUUGAAGGAGACGGUGCAGUUGUAUUCUAUGAUGACAAUUUUGAAAUUGUGGGAAACUUCAGUGUUUUGAAAAGGCAAGCAUCUUGAUACAGAAAGAUUUGGCUGAAAUAUGGCCAUAUAGCUUCGACGAAAGUUGUGCCUGCCUCGUCAUACAAUAGCUUAGUCACUACGGUUGCGGAUAUUAUGAAUUCUGUUAGUGAUAUGUAUCGUUGCCGUCUUAUUGAGGUAUCUGCUGAAAUGAUUGGUGCAUGGGAAAAUAAAAUAAAAUUGGCCGAGGAGCUUCAGUUUAGUGUUAAAUGGCUUAGAGUCCGUCUCAAUGAUGUAAAAAGAGAUUUCAACAAUGGGCGGAUUGAGAAACUUAAGAGGGAAGCAGAGAAAAACCCAGGACUUUCACAGCCCCCGAAAGUGAAGGUGGAGAAUGAAGUUGUUGAUGAAUUCAAAGAGAUCAGCGUACCAGGCUUUGUGUUUGAAGGGAUGUUAUAAACCAGCCAACUGGGUGAGGUAACCUUUUACUUCCAAUCAUGAAGAAACUGAUAUUGUCAUUUGGUAGCUAGAAAAAAAAUCUGAAUUUAAGUGUUGUAGGAAAAUGAGUGUCUCUGAUAUUUGAAGGAUGUGCUUUUUGUCAUUGACUGCAAAAGUGCUUUGAAUUUUGUUAAUAGUCAGAUUAAGUCACCAGCUAUUGUGUAGAGUUUAGAAACUCUCUUCUGUGUAGUACUUUGUAAGAGUAACUUGUAGGCUGAUUGUUUAGCCUCUUUUGGUCAAUUCAGGUUCGUGGCAUCUCUCUCUUGGAUAGUUUACUUGCAAGGUAUUAACUACCACAUUUUGCAAUUUCUGGUUUCUUAAAUGAAGUUGUUUUCUCCGCCAAAAAAAUUGUGGUUGUUUCUACUUCAUGACUAGCUGUUUCUUAUGAUACCAUUAAUUAUUAGUUACUGCUAACUAAAUCUAGACUAAGAUAUUUUGGCAAUGACUUGGUUAUCUUACGUACUGUUGUUUUUCUUAUACCGUCUGUUUUUAGUUCUCAUUGAUGUAUCACAUGCCAGGCCCUUAAGUUUUUCCUAUUAGAUAUUUCCUCCUGUGCAAAGGCUCGGGUCUAGGAUGUCCUUACCUUCAUUUAAAAAAAUAAUAAUCUACCAGUAAUUAAACAUCCCAAUACUAGUAGCUGUAGGGCUUAAUCUACCUCUACCUCUCCAUCUUCCUUUUUUUUUUUGAGAACUACAUGCUACCUGGUGUGUCUCUCCCUAUCCUCUCUUAUGUUGCAGGAAAGAUUAUACUGACGAUGUGUACAAGAGAGUAUUACAGUAUGAGCCAGCAGAAGCAUUAAGCAUCUGUCCAGGGAAGCUUAGAUGCAGUUGAGGAAAUCAACCAAACAGGCUAGCAUUUCCUGUUGCAAAUCUGAUAUGUCAGUCAAGUCAGCCUUGAUAUGCCAAGUCUUGCAAAUCUGAACCUCUAACUACAGAUGGUUAUCAGGUGGACUGCGGACUCCAACGUGUCCUAUUAUAAAUUACCAAAUUCAGAACAUGAGGUCCUAAAUCAGGAUGAUAAGAUCUUUUUUAAAUAGUCUUCCACUCAGGUACCCAACACAUUGUUUCUGUAACCAUCGGCUCAUUGCUUCAUUCCUCUGUAUAAGUUUUUGGUAAUGAGGAAUAUACCUUUUCUUAAAAGAGAAGAAAAAGCAGAAACAGAUGUGGGUAUGUCGAAAGUGUUGAGCCUCCCAGAAGAGAUUCAGGUAAAUAUCUUUUGAAAGUUACCAGUGAGUUCAAUUUUAAUUUGUACGUGGGUACGCAUGCAAACCCCAGCGUAAUCUUAUUCGUAGUUAUAACCCGUAAGUUUAUUAGGUAUCACCUUACUCUUAGCGCUCAGAAAAAUAACCCUGGUUUCAUGGUCGGAAUUUGAACUCACAAAGUAGUAAACCCAAUAUUUUCACCACAGAUUAUGCAUCGAUAUCUUCCUCAGCAUCGUGGUCAUCAGGAUUACAUGAUGUAUGCAUGGGUGGAAGCUAUCCAAAUGGAUUACCCGUUUAAGUUAAUUAAGUUAAAAGAGUUGGGAUUCUUGGUUCCUGUAACAGUCUGAUUUUUUCUUAGGUACUUUGGGUACUAGUAGAAGUGAAUUUGAUGAAUGCAGGGAGAAGCUUCUGACUCGAAGGAUGAAAGACUACAGAAUGCCCGACUCUUGGACUAGAUAUGGCAAAAUUUCCACUUCGCAAGCUUCUCUGAUCUUUAGAAGAUGCUGCAAGAGAACGGAACGAAUAGAGAGACUAGCUGCACUUAAUAAUUCCAGUACUUGACAUUUCUCUUUUCUUAUGAUUUUGCAUUUUGAUUUUUUGAUUUUUUGAUUUGAUUGUUUUGAUUUUAUUUUGCAUUUCUUUUUACCUAGGCUUAUUCAUGUAACCAUAUAUUAUUUUUAGUAGGAAUUACCAAUAGGUACCAUUAUAGUGUUCUUAGUUAGUGGCAGGUCCACCCAUUAAAGCCCACUAAUCAGAGGUCCAUAAUUAAAAGAAAACAUGAAAAUGAACCAAAUUUUUUAAGCCCAGGUCCUGUACACGUGUGGAACAUAUGAGGACGUAUUUUUAAAUACCGAAAAUACCCUUAAGUAUAUAAAGCAGUAACCAAAUCCAUUUCUUCUUCAUUUCUCGAUCUAUUCUUCUUCU